CUGGUUGAUCCUGCCGGACCCGACUGCUAUCGGAGUGAGACUAAGCCAUGCGAGUCGUGCGCUCCGGGCUGGCGGAGCGCGGCGUACGGCUCAGUAACACGUGGAUAACCUACCCUUAGGUGGGGGAUAACCUCGGGAAACUGAGGAUAAUACCCCAUAGAUCCAGGAGGCUGGAAUGCACCUGGAUCGAAAGCUCCGGCGCCUAAGGAUGGGUCUGCGGCCUAUCAGGUUGUAGUGGGGGUAACGGCCCCACUAGCCUACGACGGGUACGGGUUGUGAGAGCAAUAGCCCGGAGAUGGACUCUGAGACACGAGUCCAGGCCCUACGGGGCGCAGCAGGCGCGAAACCUCCGCAAUGCGCGAAAGCGCGACGGGGGGAUUCCAAGUGCUGGCUCGUAAGAGUCAGCUGUCCUCGAGCCUAAAAAGCUCGAGAAGAAAGGGCUGGGUAAGACGGGUGCCAGCCGCCGCGGUAAUACCCGUAGCUCAAGUGGUGGCCACUAUUAUUGGGCCUAAAACGUCCGUAGCCGGUCUGGUAAAUGCCUGGGUAAAUCGCAAGGCUUAACCUUGCGAAUUCUAGGUAGACUGCCAGACUUGGGACCGGGAGAGGCUGGAGGUACUCCCAGGGUAGGGGUGAAAUCCUGUAAUCCUGGGGGGACCACCUGUGGCGAAAGCGUCCAGCCAGAACGGGUCCGACGGUGAGGGACGAAGCCCAGGGGCGCAAACCGGAUUAGAUACCCGGGUAGUCCUGGGUGUAAACGCUGCUCGCUUGAUGUUAGGUAGGCUCCGGGCCUACCUAGUGUCGGAGAGAAGUUGUUAAGCGAGCUGCCUGGGGAGUACGGCCGCAAGGCUGAAACUUAAAGGAAUUGGCGGGGGAGCACUGCAACGGGUGGAGCGUGCGGUUUAAUUGGAUUCAACGCCGG
RNAcentral lists this ribosomal RNA (919 nucleotides) under uncultured archaeon 20b-28. RNAcentral describes it as "bacterial SSU rRNA". It matches the Rfam family "Archaeal small subunit ribosomal RNA", at positions 4 to 921 of the family's 1478-position model. The record is from RNAcentral.